AGACUAAUAGCUCAGUGGUUCAAAGUGAGGUCACUAGUUAUGCCUAGGUCCUUCAACCCCCAGUUGGUCCA
This is a non-coding RNA of Stygiomarasmius scandens, 71 nucleotides long. The record is from the annotation of a GenBank genome assembly. NCBI's taxonomy places the organism in Eukaryota, Fungi, Basidiomycota, Agaricomycetes, Agaricales, Campanellaceae.